Molecule: transfer RNA, 58 nt
Filed under: Chattonella subsalsa
Lineage: Eukaryota; Raphidophyceae; Chattonellales; Chattonellaceae
Source: RNAcentral
UUUGGUGUAGUGGAUGAGACACGGGAUUUCCAAUCCCGCGUUCCGGGUUCGAGUCUCG